AUACAUACUUGGACGGGGUCAAUGGGUGAUCAAUAAGACCCAUGGCCUAGGUUUGUGACCUUCGUUGCACUUUGAAGGGGUGCAUACCUAAGGUCGGCCCAAGUGGUCGGGACUGCUUUUUCUUUUUCUUUGCCUUAUGAGAGAAGUUAUUCUCUAUUUUG
Molecule: non-coding RNA, 161 nt
Organism: Solanum lycopersicum (tomato)
Lineage: Eukaryota; Viridiplantae; Streptophyta; Magnoliopsida; Solanales; Solanaceae
Source: Rfam